GACGAACGCUGGCGGCGUGCCUAAUACAUGCAAGUAGAACGCACAGUUUAUACCGUAGCUUGCUACGCCAUACACUGUGAGUUGCGAACGGGUGAGUAACGCGUAGGUAACCUGCCUGGUAGCGGGGGAUAACUAUUGGAAACGAUAGCUAAUACCGCAUAAUAUUGAUUAUUGCAUGAUAAUUGAUUGAAAGAUGCUAUUGCAUCACUACCAGAUGGACCUGCGUUGUAUUAGCUAGUAGGUGAGGUAACGGCUCACCUAGGCGACGAUACAUAGCCGACCUGAGAGGGUGAUCGGCCACACUGGGACUGAGACACGGCCCAGACUCCUACGGGAGGCAGCAGUAGGGAAUCUUCGGCAAUGGACGAAAGUCUGACCGAGCAACGCCGCGUGAGUGAAGAAGGUUUUCGGAUCGUAAAGCUCUGUUGUAAGAGAAGAACGGGUGUGAGAGUGGAAAGUUCACACUGUGACGGUAUCUGACCAGAAAGGGACGGCUAACUACGUG
Molecule: ribosomal RNA, 505 nt
Filed under: uncultured bacterium
Lineage: Bacteria
Description: partial 16S ribosomal RNA
Rfam family: Bacterial small subunit ribosomal RNA
Source: RNAcentral